This is an RNA transcript of Trifolium pratense (red clover), 981 nucleotides long. RefSeq lists it as uncharacterized. The record is from RefSeq and is a predicted model, not a curated record. NCBI's taxonomy places the organism in Eukaryota, Viridiplantae, Streptophyta, Magnoliopsida, Fabales, Fabaceae. The transcript is spliced from 6 exons.
CUCCUUCGUUCCCUUUUCGUUCUGUAAGCUUUUCGCGUUCUCCUUUUGGGUUCGUCUGGAUUCGGCGGAAAGGUUUGUGCAGAAAACUUUCGAUUUCUAUCUCCUUUUCAAUUUCCUUUUUGAUCUCCUUUUCAAUUUCCUUUUCGAUUUCCUUUGUCUCCUUUUUGAUAUAUAUGGAUGGGUUUGGGUUUCAUUUUCAUUCAUUCGCUUUCUCUCUCUCUCUCUCUCUCUCUCUCUCUCUCUCUCUCUCUCUCUCUCUCUCUCUCUCUCUCUUUCUUUGUUGUUUGUUUUGGGGUUGUCUCAGAUGGCUGGUAGGUUUGUCUCAGACUGGUUGCAAGGAUUUGGGAGGUAACUGGUUAUCUGAGUUCGUCUUGAUUCCAAGUGCCGGGAAGAACUUCUUGGCGUUUCAAGGUCAGGGUUACAAGGAUUUGGGAGGUGACUGGUUAUCUGAGGGAAUGGUUCUUCUUGAUGCUAAGGGUGGAAAAAUUCACACUACUGUUCGGAAGCAGCUGCUAUACCUGUUUCAGAGGAAGUUGGAGGAAAGACUUGUCUAUGUUUUGUUUGUGGUUGAUGCCAAGGAUUUGAUAUUAAUUCUUUGUUUCAUUUCAAGCUUCCAUGGUUAAAGUUACACUAUAGACCAUCUGGUACCAUUCUUGCUUUUGAUUGUUUGCUCUAAAUCUCCAGUGGCAAGUUUUCGCUAAAAUCGGUUUUGAUGUUGGCUGAUCAGAUGGUAAUCAUUCAUUCAUUUCAUGACUUGUUACAUAUUUAUAGCAGGAACACAUAUCAUAUAAGUGCUUAUGUAUAUGCUAUUUUUAUAAAGAAAGAUAAAAUAAACUCAAACUGUUUUCAUAUAAGCUGUUUUCGACUGAAAACAGCUUGUGGACAUGUAAUAAGCUGUUUUCACAAGCUCUUCCAAAUAGCCACAGAAAUACUUAUGUCAGUAGAUAAACUAAAAUAAGUUGAUCCAUACAUAGAAUAAGC